UACGGGGGGGCAAGCGGUUGUUCGGAAUUACUGGGCGUAAAGGGCUCGGUAGGCGGCCAACUAAGUCGGAUGUGAAAUCCCAGGCCUCAACCUGGGAACUGCAUCCGAUACUGCCUGGCUUGAGUUCGGGAGAGGAAGCGGAAUUCCGGGUGUAGCGGUGAAAUGCGUAGAUAUCGGAGGAACACCGGUGGCGAAGGCGGUUGGCUGGGCAGGUGCUGA
RNAcentral lists this ribosomal RNA (219 nucleotides) under uncultured bacterium. Its description in RNAcentral is "partial 16S ribosomal RNA". It matches the Rfam family "Bacterial small subunit ribosomal RNA", at positions 524 to 743 of the family's 1533-position model. The record is from RNAcentral.